RNAcentral lists this long non-coding RNA (4177 nucleotides) under Capsicum annuum. The record is from RNAcentral. Lineage: Eukaryota; Viridiplantae; Streptophyta; Magnoliopsida; Solanales; Solanaceae.
AACCUUCAACCCCUUUAGUUCAAUCACUCAUUCUUCUGUAUCUAGGGUUUUAUUUGUUUUUAUUUUUAUUCGAUUUAUUUGUUUAAUUAAUUUCAUUGGCCUAUGAUUAAAAUUUAUCAAUAUAGACAAGCAUAUGUCUGAAUUAUUCAUCAUGUUGUAAGCCUAAUCUUCUCUAUGAGGCCAAUUUUAAUUUUUUUUUUCAAUAAUUUUUUUAAAAAAAUUGUUUUUUUGCUGUAUUUAUUGAUGUAUUAAAUGAGUCAUAUGAUGAUUAGAAGCAUAGUUCAAAUGAAAUCUCUUUGAUUAUAAAAUUUCUUUAUAGUCUUUCGCUCCUAUCUGAUGACUCAAUUUCAUUUGUGUUAAAAAUUCAAUUUUUAGUUAAUUUAGUGUCAAUAUUAUUUUUUUGAUAAAUUGAAAUGGUUAAUCUAUUCAAUACUCUUUUUAUUUGUGUUAAAAAAUUGAUUUUUAGGUAGUUUAUUUGUAAGUUAUUUUUUUCUUUUCACUUGUGUUAAUUAAAAAUCUGAUAUUUUAGGUGAUUUAUUUGUAGGUUAUUUUUUUCUUUCAACUUGUGUUAGUUAAAAAUCUGACAUUUUAGGUAAUUUAUUUGUUAAUUUUAUUUUGGCAAAUUGAGAUUGAUAAUGGACAAUGACGAUUUAUAUCAUUGGUCUCGUUCGUCGUAAUGGUGUAUAAAAUCCACCUUGACGACCAUUCUGAUAUAUCACCACCCAUAAACUGAGUCGUUUAAUGUUAAUUCACUUCCUUUUUUAAUCAUAUUUGAUGUUAAUAUUAAUUAAGUAGUAUAUCAAGUGUUAAUUUUUAGCUCUUUUUAGUUUCUUAUUUAGUAGCAGUGAUGAAAAAUUCCUGUGUCGAAGACUUUUUUUGGUCUAUGAUGGUUUACACAAUCCUCUAAGAAGUUCUGAGGUAUAUCAUAUUUCCAAUUUUAGCUCAAAUGCUGUUGAUAUUUAGUUUAUUUGUUGUUAUAGUUAUUUCAUUACUUUGUGUUUUUCUAGUAGUAAUAAUUUACUAUGUUGCUAGACUCUCCAAAAAUGAUGUUGGACCUCUGUUGGCAUUUUUGAAUAGUUAAGUAAUGUGGAUAAUUUAUGUCUGACAAGGAAUGAAGUGAUGAUAGAAUUCAUAAGUCUGUCUAUCCACUGAAAUACAUUUUUAUGAUGUAAAGGGUGAAUCCCGACAGGUUCUGAUCAUUCAAAAUAAUUAAUCCUUUAUUAACUGUGAUUUUUUUGCACUUUUAUUUUAUAAAUUUAUAGUUUUAUGGGCAUAGGAUGAAAUCUUUUAUAUCGUAAAUGGGUAAUUUGCGUCUGAAUCUUUCAUUGAUGCUAUCACCUUGGAGAACUGAUGCCCUUUAAUCUGUUGUUUUAGUUGACACUUCAAAAAUGUCAAUGGGUGCGUGUUGGAUUCUGAUUAGUGUGUUUUUGGAGAAUCCAACAUGAGUUUCAUGUUCAUGGAUUUCAAAUUUAUUCAUUUUGUUGCAUUUAGUUAUGAUGAAAGCCAAUUUGCAGAGCAAGGGUGUCUUUCAAAAAUGACAAAACACUUGCAUUGAAGGUUGGCGAUAUCUUUAGCGAUUCUCCGUGCCUUUCAAACUUUUUUUGUAUUGAUUACGGCCUCGAACAAAUCGCUACAUUCCACCCCAUACCCCACCCCCAUCAAUUAUUAUGGUGCAAUAUUCUCUAUAGAGUGGAUAUGUUCAUAUUUCUCAGCUGAACUUAGUUUGGCACGUUUUCUUUACGGUGCUCAGAUUGGCGCCAUUGAUGACAGAACGUUGUGAUUUCAAGUUGUUUAGGUAUACAUUUUAAGUUUACUUUUAUCUAAAAUAGCUUCAAUUUAUAUGAUCAUCAGAGUCUUUGACAGGAAUGCUUGUGUAGUUAGGUACCUCGAAGAUCUCCUAGUAGGAGUCUUUGGCUAAUCCAUUAUAACAGUGGUGAACUCUGUUAGAUGUUUGUUGGGUUCUAUUUCUGCUUUUUGGAUUUUUGUCAGAUAUAUUUGUUUUAAUAUCCUUGGCCAAUGAUUAAAUUUCUAUUAUAGACAAGCAUAUGACUGAAUUUUCAUCAUGUUGAAAGCCUAAUCUUCUCUAUGAGGCCACUCAUAUUUUUCCUUUUUUCCCUUACCCCUAAGGUAGUGGUACAGACUAUGUACUCUUUUGCCCCCCAGAUCCCACUUUGUGGGAAUAUUUUGUGUAUGUUGUUAUGGUUAUUCUUAAUUGAAAAAAAAUGCUCUUUCAUUGGUGUUAUUACUUAAUUAAAUGGGUCAUAUGAUGAUUAGAAGCAUAGUUCAAAUGAAACCUUGGUGAUUAUAAAACUUCUUUUAGUCUUUCGCUCCUAUCUGAUGACUCCUUAAUUCUGUUGAAAAUAUGUUUUUUGGGGUACUUUAUAUUGUUUUUUGAAAAGUUGAAAUGAUUAAUGGACUGUGACGACUUAUAUCAUUGGUCUCGUUCGUCGUAAUGGUGUUAAAUCCACCUUGACGACCAUUCUGAUAUAUCACCACCCAUAAACUGAGUCCUAUAAUUAAACUUUUUACUUACUUUCCUAGUGUAGUUGGUGUUAAUUUUGCAAUAACAUGAGUAUUAUAUAUAUGUAUGUGUGUGCGCGCGCGCCUGUAUGCGUAUAUGUAUGUGUAUAUAUGUAUACAUAUAUGUAUAUAUCGUGCUGUGAUGAAAAAUGUUUGUGUCGGAGACUUUUGGUCUGUGAUGGCUUACACUACCCUCUAAGAAGUUCUGAGCACUUGUGUUUUUCAAGUUUCAACGCAAAUAUUUUCUGUGUAGUGUCUUUUAUCUGUUGUAAGUACUCUGAUUUUCUUUAAAAUACUUGCAUUGUUAAUUUCUGUUAGAGGUUGAACGAAGUGAUGAUAGAAUUCAUAAGUCUGUCAAUCCACUGAAAUACAUUUUAUGAUGUAAAGAGUGAAUCCCGACAGGUUCUGAUCGUUCAAAUUAAUUAUAGUCUUCCAUUAAUAUGUCCCUUUUUGUUUAUUCUUUUUUUUUUUAAAAAAAAACGUUGAAAUUUUAUGGGCAUAUGAUGAAAUUUUAUAUAUCGUAAAUGGGUAAUUUGCGUCUGAAUCUUUCAUUGAUGCUGUCACCUUGGAGAGCUGAUGCCCUUUAACUUUUUGACUUUGUAUUUAAAAGACAUUGUUGGGACGGGAAAUGUUGGAUGAUGGGGAGGGGAUAGAGUGCAUAUAGUCAUUUGUUAAACUUACAGGAGAACGUAAUUGCCAAAAGAAACUCAUUUCUUGCCAAUUCCAUCUAUAUUUUGUUGAUAUUGAGUUAUGUCAUUCUUGGUUAUAUAUUUAUGUCUUAAAUUUGUGGUCCUUUUAAUUACUUAUAAAGAUUAUCUUUCCAUUUAUGUUGCUGUGAUGAAAAAUUCUUGUGUCGGAGACGUCGAUCUGUGAUGGCUUACACAACCCUCUAAGAAGUUCUGAGCACAAACUUUUUUUUCCCAAUUUCUACUCACAUGUUUCUUUCGUUUUUCUUUAAAUUUUCUCCUCCAUUUCGAGGAGGAAUAAGUUAUUACAGAAUUUUCAAGUAUUUGAACCAGCAGUUCUUGUAAUUCAUCUCGAUCUGCGAAUAACUUCAUGGCCUGCGCCAAGCGUCUAUGAUAGGGAACCUCUAGGCAUCCAAGAGGUUCCAUCUGAGCCAAUGAUGGCUAUAUUUGAUCCAUCUUUGCUUUUGCUGAGGUUUCUUAUCAGCAGUAUGGCUUAAUUUUGUGUCUUUGGCAAAGAGAAAAUGAUGGGGUAUUUAUUGUCAUCUGAAUUGCAUCCCAAUAUUUGGAUGCAAAAGUAGUGAUCGACGUAUUAUAUCUGAUUCUCUCUUGGCCAACCUCCCUUCAGUCGAGGAUGCAAAAUUAGUGAUCGACGUAUUAUAUCUGAUGCAAAAUUUUGCGUUCGAGACUUUUGGUCUGUUGACAACACUACCGUUUAAGAAGCUCUGAGCACUCUAUUUUUCUGCAUAAAAAUUGGAAAAUUUUACUAUGGCUCAUGAGUACCACGUAAUAGCCGUGGGAUGUUAUUUUUAAGGGAAAAAGGGUCAAAAAUAUCCUUCUACUUUGAUUAAUUGGUUAAUUUUAACCCUUUGUGAUAGUAUGAUGUUAAAUUUACUAAAUAAAAUUGUUACAAUGAACUUAAUUAACUUAAUCUUCUUCCCUAACACACUCAUUUUCCCCAAAUCAACUGUCAC